UCAUCAUUGUUGGUUGUCAG
Molecule: microRNA, 20 nt
Filed under: Schmidtea mediterranea
Lineage: Eukaryota; Metazoa; Platyhelminthes; Tricladida; Dugesiidae
Description: sme-miR-2b-5p
Gene: sme-miR-2b-5p
Source: miRBase by way of RNAcentral